RNAcentral lists this unclassified non-coding RNA (1018 nucleotides) under Hevea brasiliensis (rubber tree). The record is from RNAcentral. Lineage: Eukaryota; Viridiplantae; Streptophyta; Magnoliopsida; Malpighiales; Euphorbiaceae.
GGAUGAACCAUGCAUCACGUAAAAUUCAGAAAGAAAGUAAGUGUCCAACCUACUGCAACUGUCACAAGAGGGCUUCUGCUAUGCAAUUGUAGUUGCAGAUAUCUAUGCCCUCAUGUGAUGACAGUAGGCUUUUCUCUUCCGGUGAAGUCCUUUAGCUUUGAUAUAGAAAGCGCGAGAUCUAUCAACGGUUUCAAUGCAAUUUGAGCAUCCAUGUCGUGUUUGGAAACAUCCGGCUCAAACUGUUCGAUAUAUAUUCUGACUGUUGCUCCAGCAGAGCCAGUACCCGAUAGUCGAAAGAUGAUCCGUGAUCCAUCACUAAAAACAAAGCGAACCCCCUGUUUGGAUGCAAUACUUCCAUCGACAGGAUCAGUAUAGGCGAAGUCAUCAGCAAAAUCUAGGCUAUAACUUCCAUACUUAUCACCAGCCUUGCUUUUAGAAAUCAAAUCCCGAAGAUGCUCGAUCAUGUUAUUUGCUCCUUCUGAUUCACAUUCCUCAUAGUCAUAUCUCGAAAAGAAGUUCCUUCCAUAGGUGGCCCAAUGCUCCUUCACAACAUCAGCAACAGAAACCAAUAUCUCCCCUGAUCUUUUGUCCUUGUUCCGAUAUGCAAGUAUUGAAAGCCAAGCUAAAACAGCCCAUAUACCAUCUUUUUCACGGAUGUGGUCAGAACCAGUCCCAAAACUUUCUUCGCCACAGAUAGACAAUUUUCCAGCAUCCAUUAGAUUACCAAAGAAUUUCCAACCAGUUGGCACCUCAAAAAAGGGGAGGUUUAGCUUUUGGGCAACGCGAUCUAGAGAACCGCUAGUGGGCAUUGAUCGAGCCAAACCCUUAGGCCCGGACUGGAAAUAUGGAAUAGCAUCUUGGGCAUUGGCAGCAAUAAUUGCAACAGAAUCAGAUGGAGUAACAAAAAAGCUUCUUCCAAGAAUCAUGUUUCUAUCACCAUCUCCAUCACUUGCAGCACCAAAGUCUGGUCCAUUCUCUCCAUACAGGAUAUUCACCAAAUCCUCAGCAUACGUAAGGU